Long non-coding RNA from Pieris rapae (cabbage white), 1356 nucleotides. RefSeq lists it as uncharacterized. The record is from RefSeq and is a predicted model, not a curated record. Lineage: Eukaryota; Metazoa; Arthropoda; Insecta; Lepidoptera; Pieridae. The transcript has 3 exons.
AAGGGUCGCUGUCAAUUUUUUUAGAAAUGCCAAAUACUAAUUGGAUUAGCAACGUCAUACAUUACAAAACUAAAAAAUUGAAAUCUAAAAGAAACGAAAUUUUAGAAAUAGCAACCGAUUUCUACCGUGAUCUUUAUAACGACGAGCAAAAAACAUCAACUUAAAGCAACAAGAAAGUUUUUGAAGAACCCAUUCCAAACAUACUAAAAGACGGAGUUCUUAAAGCCCUAAAAUCACAAAAAAUAGGGAAAACACCAGCCUGUCGAUUCUGUAACUCACUUUACAAAUUCUCACAGCGGAUUCCGCACUCAAAUCACUCCUGAAGGUGUCAGGUUAAAAUUUGGUAUACUGAUAAACAAUAACCGCGACAAAAGCGCCGCUCAAGUGAGAUUGUUUACAUUUGGAACUAUAAUUAAAGACUCACAUCACUUACGCUCAAAUAGUCUUGGUAUUUCGCAUUCUGAUGACACCAUUUGACAUCUCGUGUAAAUUAAAAUCGGCAGUGAACUCGAUUUUUUACGUCAAAUUAAAAGUUGCUUUUUCCUAGGUGAAAUCAUGAUUGACAAGUGAGUUAGCCAUUUUUUAGCGAAGUUAUAGGCUGUUUUACGUGAAAAUAUUCUAAUAUAGGACAAUCUAUAUUUAUGUGAAAGCCCGUCCACUUUAAACCUCUAUUUCAAUAAAUACAUUAUGUAAAUAAUUAAAAAAAACUUAAUACAAUAUCUAUAGAUGGCGAAGAAAAAGGCAUGAAACGACCAAUUAGUUUCUCGGCCUUGGUUACUAUCGCUUUUUUCCAAUACCCAAGACAUGACGUAGUAUUUACGAAACGUAAAACAUUUCCUCAUUCCUAUAUGGGCUGCGGAGAUGAACGAAGAGUCUAGUAAAUACAUAAUCUAAGAGUUCCAAUGUUCAAAAAAUCCUGGAUGUAUUUUUCUGCCUUUGUAGAAGAAUAUCACAUUUAUAUCAAUGACAAGGACUCUGGAUAUAGAAAGACACAAUAGUGCAGAUAUUUUCAAAUAAUUGAACUUCAACUUAAUAAUAAAUGAUAUCACAGCCCGAACAACCAAAAUUGGCAGUUCUUAUAUCUUUAUAAAUAUUGAUAGGUAUAACAUCAAGGUUUUGAAUAAAAACAUUAUUCUGCUUUACACAAGUAUAAAAUACCAUCAUGAUGUACAUGAUAGUUUAAGUACUUAUUAAGCUUUUUAUUUUUUUGUUCAUAACAAUUACUUUUUCUUAACUGAUUAGAUAUAUUAUAUUUGUCUACAAAAUAAAGUAGUAAUUGAUUAGCUCUUUGUGAGGCUGGGUUUGAUUAGUUUUUAUUAUACUUAAGUUUAAGUUUGUAUUACUGAAAGUAAUUUU